CUAACUGGAGGACCGAACCGACUAAUGUUGAAAAAUUAGCGGAUGACCUGUGGCUGGGGGUGAAAGGCCAAUCAAACCGGGAGAUAGCUGGUUCUCCCCGAAAGCUAUUUAGGUAGCGCCUCGUGAACUCAUCUUCGGGGGUAGAGCACUGUUUCGGCUAGGGGGCCAUCCCGGCUUACCAACCCGAUGCAAACUACGAAUACCGAAGAAUGUUAUCACGGGAGACACACGGCGGGUGCUAACGUCCGUCGUGAA
RNAcentral lists this ribosomal RNA (255 nucleotides) under Enterobacter hormaechei. RNAcentral describes it as "partial 23S ribosomal RNA". It matches the Rfam family "Bacterial large subunit ribosomal RNA", at positions 762 to 1014 of the family's 2925-position model. Lineage: Bacteria; Pseudomonadati; Pseudomonadota; Gammaproteobacteria; Enterobacterales; Enterobacteriaceae. The record is from RNAcentral. RNAcentral also lists the same sequence under 3 other names.